Small nuclear RNA from Camelus dromedarius (Arabian camel), 109 nucleotides. The record is from Ensembl. Lineage: Eukaryota; Metazoa; Chordata; Mammalia; Artiodactyla; Camelidae.
AGGCUCACUUCAGCAGCACAUAUACUGAAAAACUGAAAUAAUACAAAGAAUAUUAGCAUGGCUCCUAUACAAGGAUGACACGCAAAUUCAUGAAACAUUCCAUGCUAAA